CAUUGCCGAUUUGCUCUUUAUUUUACACUCAAACCUCAAACCUCAAACCUUGGACCCUUCGUGAUGUCUCAAACUGCAACAACAAUGGGUGAGCGUGUUCCAAACGAUGUCGUGGAAGGCAUCCUGGGUCAGCUACCAGUGAAAUCCUUAACCCAAUUCAGGUGCGUUUCGAAAUCUUGGGACUCCAUCAUCACUGACCCCACUUUCAUUACCAAACACUUCAAGCUCAACCUUAACCAAUCCGAAUCGUUAAUAUCCACAAACGCUCACAGUGGGUAUUUGCUAUAUACUACAAAGGAUGAGAAUAGUUCACCAUCUUCCAAACAUCUGUGUACGGUUGUUUGCAACAGUGACAGCACAUAGACCCAGAUUUCAAGGUUUGAAAUCCCCUCACUUUUUGAGAAAUAUAGUAUAGUUGGUUUCUGUAAUGGCUUGUUCUGUCUAGCUAGUCGUGUCUAUGAUCUUGAUCACAUUAUAUAUUUGUGGAACCCAAGUAUUAGAAUGUUUAAGAAGCUUCUAUCUACUCCCUUUACUAACGAGGAUAAUAAGAUAUAUACGAUGUCUGUUGUUGGACUUGCUUAUAAUUCUCAGAACAAUGACUUCAAGAUUCUGAGACUUCUGUCUGUUCUUUGGGGAGAGGCUGAGGCCGAGAUUUACAGUUUGAGUACAGAUUCCUGGAGAAAGGUUGUAAUAUCGAUGGAGUCCUUAAGAGGGUAUGAACCCAACUUUGGAAGAAUUUUUCAGAUUGAUCCACCCUGUAUAUUUUUGAAUGGAGUUUUGCACACCGUAGCAUACACUAGCCGCCACCCUUUCAUCCUGUCCUUUGAUGUCAAUGAUGAGAGCUUUCGUGAGAUGUUGUUGCCUUUUAAUCACAUAGAUGUGGUUACGUUUUCUCAUCAUGCAUUGUUUAAGGGAUCCCUAGCUCUUUUUUGCUUUUGCUGUUAGUCGUAUGGGUGUCUUAUGCAACAUAUGGGUUAUGGAGGAGUAUGGUGUGGCUGAGUCUUGGACUAGAAAAUAUAUGGUACCAAUGAUUCAGUGUAGGGUUGUUCUAUGGCUGCACUGAUAAGGGUGAACUUUUGAUUAAGAAUGCCACUGGGCUGAUUUCAUUUGACCCUGAGAAUCAAAAGCAGAACAUUCUUGCAAUUGAAGAUGCUGAUUGGGUGGGUUUCACAGCUAAUUCAAUGGAGAGCUUGAUUUUACUCAAUGGCGGGUAGAGCAAGGCAGAUGGUUUUAAGCACCUGCAAAACAAGCAGAAUAAAUCUUGUUGAUCUAGCUGGUUCAGAGCAACAAAAGUUAACUGGUGCAGCAGGGCUGCGUUUAAAGCAAGCUGGUAAUAUUUGUAGAUCACUUUCAUAGCUUGGGUAUUGUAACACCUGCCUCACUUAAAUUUAAUUUAGUUACUUCUAGAGUGGAGUUGAUGAAUUAUUUAAUUUAUUUUUAAGGUGAUAUUAUUUUAUAUUAUGAUAUCUACAAAGAAAAUAAAUAAAAGAAGAUAUAACGUAAGAGUUAUUUUUGUGGAUUAUUUAUAUUUAACUUUUAAUCUCCUUAGAUAAGAGAUUAAAACCUAUUUGGAUUAGGAGUUUAAGUGUUAUUGGAAUCCAUUUAGAGUCUGUUUGGAUACCGCUUAUUUUGCUGAAAAUUGAAAACUUAUUGUUGAAAGUACUGUAGUAAAAUAAUUUAUAAGCUAGCUGAUUUUUUGGGCUGAAAGUACUGUAGCUUCAGCUAAAUAGUAAUGUGAACAGUACAAAAUAAUUCAUCUGCGUUUUUCAUCUUGUUGUGGGGUUUGUGAAAAAUAACGUGGGACCCAAGUAAUUUUUAGCCAAACACGCAAAACGUGGACGCAAAACGCUAUCCAAACACUCACUUAGAGUUCUAACCUAUCUAAACAACCUUAAUUUGAGUUUAAUUGGGAAUUAAAGUCUUGGAAGCUUAUUUAAGUUAUAGUGGGUCUUAAACUCUAGCCCAAGUAGGAUUGUUAUUUAAGAGUACUAAUUGGAGUGAGCUUGAUCUUCCUAGACUGAAUUGGAGUGUUAUUUAGAGGUAUAUAUACUGGGUCUUUUAAGUCUUUCAUGUGAAAGGUAGGGAGAGACACUGGAUGCUAAAAGCUACGGCAAAAAGGAUCAUUGCCAAACUUGACAAAGAUGACAUCAAGGUAACUUCUAAGGAGCUUACUAUAGAUUGUGUGUGUGAUAUCAUAGGUUAAAGAUACAUGUUGUAUAUCUCCAAACAGUAGAGUCGAUAUUACAAGAUUUACAUGUUGCAGGAUAUCUCUAAGAUGAUGGUAUAGGAUUUCUUGAAGUUUCUGCGUUAUGACUUAAUUAAGUGGCAUGAUACGCAUCUAUAUAUAUUAUAUGUAGAGAGUAAAGAGUCAUAAUUGAUGUACAUAGCAUGGUGAGUCAUAAGAUUACAUGAUAUCAAUACCCCAAUUGAGAUCGAAUUCCCUAUAUCCAAUUUAAAUAGACUAUCAUGAGAUGUAAGUAAAUACUGAUGCUUGUGGAUUAUUUCGGAUCUGAUGGUAAAAUAUUAAAUACUAAUGAUAGGCCUUUGGUUAAGAAACAUUGUUAGGAUUUGACAUGUAGGUAUGAUGUAUAAAGGUCCAUAUAUGAUUUUGGAAGAGGGAUAGCAUGAAUGGAUUAUGUAAAUAGAGUAAGAAUGACUUAACAAAGCAAAAUCAUCUCUAUAGCUAAUGAAAGAGCUUUUGGUGGCUGGUUUAUUUAUUUUAGUAAGAGGAUUUUUAAUUAGUAGUGGAAAGCUUAGCACUUAAUAAAUCAUCUAUUUAUGUAUUAGGUUCGAGUGACAUCGGCUUGGAUAGUUGAGUUCUAAUGUGUUUUGGUGAUUUGAGAUUAGUGGACUUCAGAACAAGAUGUCUCUCAAGACGUAUAUAUUUAUAUAAAUUUGUGGUAAAAAUAUAUUUAUAUAUACAUAAUUGCAAAAGUGAAGUUUCUAAAAACUUAUACCAUUGUUGAUGCUUUAUACAUACCUGAAUUUUAUUAUUUUUUGUAUAUUAUUUUGAAACUAUAUAUGCUAAGAAUGACUCAAAAUCAUAUUUUUGAGAAAGUAUUUGUCAUAUGAUAUAUGAUUAGUAUUGACAAUAGUAUAAUAAAGUAAGAAUGUUUUCAAACGAGUCAUCUAGAUAGUCUGUAACCUUUGCUAACAUAGGGUUAAGUGUUGGUCUUCGGCGAAUGUAGUGUUAUUGUAGUGUGGUGCAGUGUUAUUGUUUGCUCUUCGGAGCCAGUGUUAUCAUUUGCUCUUUGGAGUCAGUGUUGCCUCUUUGAGGUUAGUGUUAUUGUUCCUCAUGGGAAUCACCUUCCGAGUGUUUAGCAGUUUAUGUCUUUGUCUGACUAAUGUUUAACGUUUUUCAUAUCAAACUAUUGUUUUAUUGUUAUUGACCUUUAUAAGUAGAAAAAUUGUUUAUUACUAUAAUAUAUUGUUUCUACCUAUUUAGUGUAUUUUGGCCAAUUAAAGUGAUUAUUAUUUUAUUUAAUGAUUACAGCGUUAUAGUUAAAUGUUUUAUUUUUGAUAGUUUUACAAAGUAUAUUAUAUUACUGUUAAAACUAUUUGUAAAUGUUUUGUAAAGCUUAUAUUUUAUCAAUGAUACUAUUGAUUUGUUUUGAAAGACAUGCUCAUGUUAUAUAGUCUCUUAUUAAGCUUCUAGCUCACCCCCCUUUUCUCCACCCUUUCAUAUUAGAGUAGUGGAAUAUAUUUUGAUGUUAUAUCAUUGGAGUCAUAGAUUGAAGAUUCCUUUGGAGCUAUGUUAGUUGAUGAACUGUUUUAGUAUAUUUUUCUUAAGAUAGUGAGUUUAGUAUUCUUGAAACUAUUUGGGAUUGUAUUUGAAGACUUUAUUGAUAAAAGUUUUAGUUUGAUGGAUUUUAUAAGAAAGACUUGAUGAUUUGAUUCUUACUUGUGAAUAUUUAAUUACGUUUUGUUCCAUUAUAGCAAAUGUUGAUUAUUUAUAAGAUAGGUCAUGCAUCUAAAUCCUUGGUAUGAGUUUGGGGUGUCAUAGGUAUGAUCAAACAUAUCUUCUAUCUUGUUUGGUUUAGUUUACCAAUUGCUCAAUAUUGCUGUAUGUACAAAGCCGCCAAAAACAUAUAUGAUCAAUUAGGUACAAUAUGGCAUAACACAUAUUUGAGUUCUAAAUUUGAUGUCAUCAUGAUUGAUCCAUCCACCUUCAAAAUUAUUUCAGUAAUCCUAUUGAUUCAAAAUGGGUGGGUUGAUUUCUCUCCUAUAAUUGAAUGCUACAUUGAAGGAGAUGAGAUGUCAAUGGAAUGCAAAAUAAUGGAGAAGGAAGAAUAUUAAUUUCAAAUAAUAUAUAUAUAUAUAUAUAUUUUUUGAAAAUAAAAAAUAAAACAGUGGAGAAGGAAGCUGGUAAGAAGGUAACACAUUUGAGUACAAUCUAUAAAAAAUGAAGAGAAUACUGCAAAAAAACAUCCUAAACUUUUGGUCAAAAUCAACCUAAACCCCUAAUCUUCUAAUUUGAAAUUAGAAGCCACUGAACUUUGAGAAAUACCCAAAUUGUUCCUUAAUUUAAGGAUCUAAAUCUCUAAGUAUUGAAGUGCUUAUGGAAUAGGUUCAGUUCAUUGCACGCUUUUUAACUGCUUGCAUUGAUGUUCACUUGGACCAUGGUCUUGCCACAAAUAUUAUCAUUGACUAAAACAGUAUUUGAUGGCUCUAGUGGCACGCCAAACUCAUUUAAGAUUCAUAUAGAUCAUGGUGUUUCUUGCGUCUAUCUGAUCUUAUAGAAUUCUCAAUUGCUCCUACUACACAAAUUUAGUUGCACCAACUUCAAUGAGUUCAUAUAAUGCUACCCUAAUAUAUGCAUAUUUAACAAAAUUGAUUUUUAAUUUGAGAAAUUCACUUUUCUUUUAUUUUUUGAUAUCCCCAAUUAGUUAUGGGACUUGAAUGGACAACUGCAUAAAUCCUAUAUGAGAAUGAAAGGAGAAAAUUGACGAAGAAGAAAAACAAAAGAGCCUUUGAGCGGCUAGUGGUAACUAAAUUCUUGUGUUUGUGUUUUCCGAUGCACAAAAUUGAACAUGUUUGUAUGAAUUUAAGUAAAUGAAAAAAAAAAAAAAAAA
Molecule: long non-coding RNA, 5072 nt
Organism: Quercus lobata
Lineage: Eukaryota; Viridiplantae; Streptophyta; Magnoliopsida; Fagales; Fagaceae
Exons: 2
Source: RefSeq, a predicted model, not a curated record